AGAGUUUGAUCCUGGCUCAGAACGAACGCUGGCGGCAGGCCUCAAACAUGCAAGUCUAGGGGGCGUAGCAAUACGUCACCGGCGGACGGGUGCGUAACACGUGGGAAUGUACUUAUUGGUUCGGAACAACUCAGGGAAACUUGAGCUAAUACCGAAUGUGCCCGAAAGGGGAAAGAUUUAUCGCCAAUAAAUCAGCCCGCGUCCGAUUAGCUAGUUGGUGGGGUAAAGGCCCACCAAGGCGACGAUCGAUAGCUGUUCUGAGAGGAAGAUCAGCCACACUGGGACUGAGACACGGCCCAGACUCCUACGGGAGGCAGCAGUUGGGAAUCUUGGACAAUGGGGGAAACCCUGAUCCAGCCAUGCCGCGUGAGUGAUGAAGGCCUUCGGGUUGUAAAACUCUUUCGACGGGGACGAUAAUGACGGUACCCGUAGAAGAAGCUCCGGCUAACUUCGUGCCAGCAGCCGCGGUAAUACGAAGGGGGCUAGCGUUGUUCGGAAUUACUGGGCGUAAAGCGCGCGCAGGCGGUCUUCCAAGUCAGUGGUGAAAGCCCGGAGCUCAACUCCGGAACUGCCAUUGAAACUGUUAGACUUGAGGACGAGAGAGGUGAGUGGAAUUCCCAGUGUAGAGGUGAAAUUCGUAGAUAUUGGGAAGAACACCGGUGGCGAAGGCGGCUCACUGGCUCGUUUCUACGCUCAGGCGCGACAGCGUGGGGAUCAAACAGGAUUAGAUACCCUAGUAGUCC
RNAcentral lists this ribosomal RNA (743 nucleotides) under uncultured bacterium. Its description in RNAcentral is "bacterial SSU rRNA". It matches the Rfam family "Bacterial small subunit ribosomal RNA", at positions 8 to 796 of the family's 1533-position model. The record is from RNAcentral.